This 250-nucleotide ribosomal RNA is filed under the name uncultured prokaryote. Its description in RNAcentral is "partial 16S ribosomal RNA". It matches the Rfam family "Bacterial small subunit ribosomal RNA", at positions 524 to 774 of the family's 1533-position model. The record is from RNAcentral.
UACGUAUGGGGCAAGCGUUAUCCGGAAUUAUUGGGCGUAAAGAGUGCGUAGGUGGUUUUUUAAGCGUGGGGUUUAAGGCUAGGGCUUGACCGUAGUUCGCCCCACGAACUGAAAGACUUGAGUGCUGGAGGGGAAAGUGGAAUUCCUAGUGUAGCGGUGAAAUGCGCAGAUAUUAGGAGGAACACCGGUGGCGAAGGCGGCUAUCUGGACAGUAACUGACGCUGAGGCGCGAAAGCGUGGGGAGCAAACA